RNAcentral lists this long non-coding RNA (1897 nucleotides) under Homo sapiens (human). Its description in RNAcentral is "non-protein coding lnc-RRM2-3:1". The record is from RNAcentral. Lineage: Eukaryota; Metazoa; Chordata; Mammalia; Primates; Hominidae.
AGCUACGCUCACUGACACGCAUCUCAUGCUGUGCUAGGAUGUUGUCCCCAUGUUAGUGUGCCCUCUCCAGGGAGACUGCCAGCCCUCGUGGGUGUGCAUCUUCUGCUUCUGCAUCCUUGGUCACUGCCAGCAGAGGUCUGGGCACAUGGUGGUGGACAGUGGCUAUUAACUGUGGUUGUGCUGGAAUGGAGGAGGCCUGGUGUCUGGUCUUGGAGUCAAGAAUGCAUGUGCUUAAGGAUUCCAAGAUCACACGGAGGAGGGUGCUGGGAGACCGUGAAGUGCAAAGCAGAUGGAGUCCAGGCCCUCGGGGAGACAGCACGCCAGUGAGGGAGAUGGAGACCAAUCACCCACCCAGUGUGCGGGGAUGAGAAGCUCGGGAAGGUCUGACCAGCCUUACGUCUUGAAAGGGAAUCCCCUGCUUCUGCGUGUCAGGUGUUACUCGGGGUGCGCCAGUGGAAGCGGGAGGCAGUUGCAGCUUUCAGUCUUCCAGGAUCUCAACCAGUUCUCUCACUGCAGAGUCUGGAGAAGCCCAGCCCUCAUUGUGAAGGGAGAGCCACCGUGGUGCUCACAGCAAGACACCCAGAGUCCCUUCCAGACAGGGACACCCCUGGAGCGACCCUGUUUCAGAAUGAAGUUAUCUGGGUGGGAACUCACCAAGAAUGCACAGAGGGCGCUGGGCUCCAAGCUUCAGCAUAUCCUUUCACUGGACUCCACACAGGCCUGCGGAGCAGGUGGACCCACCAUUCUCAGACCCCCCAGGGCCCCAUAGACAGCAGAUCUGCUGCUUUCAAUCACACCCACUGCCUCUCAUGCCGGAGUGGGGGAAAUGGAACCCGCAAAGCCUGCAGGCCAGGGAGGGUGGGAAACUGGGGUGAUGUGAGCCCACAGGGUGGAGCACUGUGGACUGAAUGCCUGUGUCCCCUGGGUUCAUAUGUUGAACCCCUAACUCCCAAUGUGAUGGUGUCAGGAGGUGGAGCCUUUGGGAGGUGGUUAGGCCGUGAGGGUGGAGACCCAUGCUGGGGUUGGUGCCCUUAUGGUUCUCCCAUGUGAGGACACAGAGGGCAGCCAUCUACAAGCCAAGAAGAGAGGCCUCACCAGACACCAAACCUGCCGGCACCUUGCUGUGAGAUUUCCAGCCCCCAGAGCUGUGAGAAAUAAAUUUCUGUUGUUUAAGGCACUCAAUAUUUUGUUACAGUAGCCCAAGCUGACUGAGCAGAUAUUCAUAUGGAAAGUGAAUUUUGAUCUCUACUUCAUGCCGUACAUAAAAGCCAAUUCCAGAUUGACUGUAGAUACAGAUUGGCAAAGCAAAACAGUACAGUUUCUAGAAAGAAACAGGAAAAUAUCUGCAUGAGGUGGUCAAAUAUUUCCUAGAGAGGACACAAAAAGCACUAACUACAAAAUAAACAAUGAUAAAUUGGACUGCAUUAAAAUUAAGAACAUCUGUUUAACAAAAGACCCCACGAAGAGCGUGAGAAGCCAGAGUGCAGAGUGGGAGGAGAAAUCUGACCUGAGAUGGGAAAUUAGAAUAUGAAGAACUCCUUCAAGUCAGCAAGAAGACAGGCAAGCCGAGAGGAGGACGGGCAAACGACCUCAACAGACACUUUACAGAAGAGAUAUCCAGGCCAGGUGCAGUGGCUCAUGCCUGUAAUCCCAGCACUUUGGGAGGCUGAGGCCGGUGGAUCACCUGGGAUCAGGAGUCCAAGAUCAGCCUGGCCAACAUGUCGAAGUGCCAUCUCUACUAAAAAUACAAAAAUUUGCUGGGCUUGGUGGUGUGCACUUGUAAUCCCAGCUACAUGGGAAGCGGAGGUGGGAGAAUUUCUUGAACCCGGGAGGCAGACUUUGCAGUGAGCUGAGAUCGUGCCACUGCACUCCAGCCUGCGGGACAGAGUGAGACUCC